This 229-nucleotide ribosomal RNA is filed under the name uncultured bacterium. Its description in RNAcentral is "partial 16S ribosomal RNA". It matches the Rfam family "Bacterial small subunit ribosomal RNA", at positions 568 to 796 of the family's 1533-position model. The record is from RNAcentral.
UGCGUAGGCGGAAUGAUAAGUUAGUGGUGAAAGCCCCCGGCUCAACCGGGGAACUGCCAUUAAUACUGUCAUUCUUGAGUAUAGUUGAAGUGGGCGGAAUGUAUCAUGUAGCGGUGAAAUGCUUAGAUAUGAUACAGAACACCGAUAGCGUAGGCAGCUUGCUAAACUAUAACUGACGCUCAGGCACGAAAGCGUGGGGAGCAAACAGGAUUAAAUACCCUGGUAGUCC